CAAAGGCUUGGUCCUGACCUUACUGUCGACUUUAGCUAAACUUACACAUGCAAGUCUCCGCCCCCCCGUGAGAAUGCCCUACAGUUCCUCUGCCCGGAACAAGGAGCGGGUAUCAGGCACACCCAGUGUAGCCCACAACACCUUGCUUAGCCACACCCCCAAGGGAUUCCAGCAGUGAUAAAUAUUAAGCAAUAAGUGAAAACUUGACUUAGUUAAAGCUUAGAGGGCCGGUAAAACUCGUGCCAGCCACCGCGGUUAUACGGGUGGCCCAAGCUGACAGCCCUUCGGCGUAAAGCGUGGUUAAUAGCUCUAUUAUACUAAAGCCGAAUGCCCCCUAAGCUGUAAUACGCUCUUGGGUGCUAGAAGCCCUAUUACGAAAGUAGCUUUAUAGUAUUGAACCCACGAAAGCUAGGAUACAAACUGGGAUUAGAUACCCCACUAUGCCUAACCAUAAACUUAGAUGGUAAAUUACUUAUACCAUCCGCCGGGGAACUACGAGCAUUAGCUUAAAACCCAAAGGACUUGGCGGUGCUUAAUAACCCC
This 543-nucleotide ribosomal RNA is filed under the name Lipophrys pholis (shanny). RNAcentral's name for it is "partial small subunit ribosomal RNA". It matches the Rfam family "Bacterial small subunit ribosomal RNA", at positions 7 to 932 of the family's 1533-position model. Lineage: Eukaryota; Metazoa; Chordata; Actinopteri; Blenniiformes; Blenniidae. The record is from RNAcentral.